AAAGGAAACCGAGGAAAGAAGAGGAGAGAAAGGAAAAAGAGGGGUUAGGGUUUGAAGACGAGACCCAAAGUGUUACUCUAAAGUGUCAUUUUUCUCCAAUUUUCCAUUGAAACUUCUUAGAGCUGCACUCAAUCCAAGGUAAUCCAGAUGAGUAGCUGUUUCCGCUUAUAGUCGAGUUUUGGGUGUCAUUGCUCUGAUACGUAGCACUUGGGGGGGGGAUGAACACUUGCUUGAUGUUGUUAUUUGCUUAUUGAACCUUAUGAUGUAUUUGAGGAUUUGUUUGUAUUGUUUCUUUUUAUGAUUCAAAAGAUGUUAUGUCUUAAUUGUUGAAUCAUUGUGAAUCUGUUGCAUGUUGAACCUAAGUUUGGGUUAUGCUAUGAAUACUAUGUUAUUCAAAAGUUGAGAUAUAUGUUAUGAGUUUUGUUCACUCCAA
Long non-coding RNA from Vicia villosa (hairy vetch), 433 nucleotides. RefSeq lists it as uncharacterized. The record is from RefSeq and is a predicted model, not a curated record. The transcript is spliced from 2 exons. Lineage: Eukaryota; Viridiplantae; Streptophyta; Magnoliopsida; Fabales; Fabaceae.